This is a long non-coding RNA of Monodelphis domestica (gray short-tailed opossum), 2776 nucleotides long. RefSeq lists it as uncharacterized. NCBI's taxonomy places the organism in Eukaryota, Metazoa, Chordata, Mammalia, Didelphimorphia, Didelphidae. The record is from RefSeq and is a predicted model, not a curated record.
UUCAAUCAGAACCAAAAAGGACUUAAAGGAGCCCUCAGUCUAAUUGGAUUUUAUAUAAAGGAAUUGCUGAAUAACACAAAUAAAUCAUCAUUGAACAUCCAGGCAUUAAAGUGAUGCAGGACCCAAGGACAAAGGGGAAGCAUGUGGAGGCUACAUGGGACCAAUGAUGAUGGAUACCAGGGUAAAUAGACGUUACCAUGAAGGAUGGAUAUGACAUGUAGCAAGAAUAUGAGGAAAACAACUGAAGACAACAAAAAUGCACAGAUUUCCAGUUCCACCGAAGGUGCAACAGGAAGGAAAGAGCACUAGAGGUGGAAUUCCACCCAGUUUAUCCUGCCACCAUCAGCAGAUUCAAUUGCACGUCUAGCCAAAGAUGUUGGUAAUCUCUCACUCAGGAUCUGGCAGUUAUCCGGGACGAUGAAAUGUGUUCUCAGCCCUAGGCAAAGGGGUUCAGUGAGAAGAUUUCAUCUUUGCCCGGAGACAUUCUGCCUGGCUUCUCCUGUUGAAUGUAGUUGCGCACAGCCUCCAACAGACUCCAGAGCUCUCGGUCUCGUCAGAUACAGGACAGCCUUUCUAGUCACAUCACAGUAAUACAGAGUCAAAAUGACGACGAGAUAAAACCCCAAGCUGAUGCCAGGGAAUGAAUUCUACCAAGGAUCACAAAGUAGCACCACUCAGGAGCCCAGAAGAGAGCAGAGCAGUGUGUGAGAGCAAGACAGAGACCUUCCCAGACACCAAGUCGGAGAGAGGGAUAAAGAGACUUGGGGACAGACAGAACGUCAGAGACACACUAUUCAGAGUGGGAGGGCAGAAGUAGACAGGCAACAUCUAGCAAGAAACAAAAAACAACCAAGAGCAGCAUCAAGCAGGGAACAACUUUAGACAUAGCAAGUAAUGGCGCAUCAGAAGAUGCUGAGGACUGAGGCAUUCGGGACAUGACUUGCCCUUCACUGGGUGUCACAUUUCUGCUGGAUUUGUCUCCUCUCUGGUUAUCUCAUUGUCACUACUAGAUGCUGCACCUCUAUACCAGAUUCAGUGUUUUAUCUCAGCAGGUCUACUUGAUGGCUUCUAAUCUCCUGAAGACUAGCAUCUAGUGACUUGAAAGACUUUCCCUAAUGAGACCCAGUGUAUAAUUUUAGCCAUAGUCAGAGGGUAUAAAUGACACUCCUCGGUGUAAGAAAAGCCAGAAAGGGUAAGUUCAAUAUCUUUACUAUUUAGUGUUUUUUUAAUCCAUAUUAUGAACAGAUAAUAUAAAAGGUAAGUUAGAAAGAUAUGACUCCUAAAUGGGUAGUUCUAAGAAAAUAAAGAGAAAGAGAACAAGUUAAGAGCCUAUGUCAAAUGAGGGUCUACCAUUAAAUAUGGUGUUAUAUUUCUGGCAUUGAGUCUAGUCAAGAUAGGCUGGGCUAAGGUCACAGGAAGUAGUAGCUUUUGCAAGGUCUCUCUUAUAGCUGGUUUUUUGAUACUGAAUUAGUUGUCCUUGGGUUUUCUGGAUAAGGGAUCUAAGUUCUCAGAUUUCUGGACAAUAAUUCAAUUUUUGGUUCUAGACUAAGGGGUUCUAUUUGAGGGAGUAAAAAAAUUCCCAGAAUAUAAAAGGAAUUCAUUAUGGAACACCUUUAUUUCUACACACUGAAAAGACAAUACUAAGCAAGAAAGCAUCAUAGAAUGAUUAUAAUUGUUUGAGACACUAAUAGGCAAGCUUCAUGGGACAUGUGCAAUAGGACAUCCUCAGUAGCCGGUUUUCAUUUCACCUCCACUGAGUAGAGCACAAUCAACACCAAUUGGAUUUUUUUAUUUUUUGGUUAUAUUUGUUUUUCUCUCUGUGGAACAUUCUUUCCUUCUUAGCUGGUCUGCCACUGUGACUGUUGCCAUUGCGACUGCUCUGUUAGCAAAUAUAACCCUCCUCAGUUGCCCAGGAAGGGAGGAGGCUACCAGUUGCUUUGGAAGAUUUCACAAGGCUUUGUAUCAAUGGAAGAAGAUGUGAAUAGAUGUUGACUUCAAGUCAGGCAUAAAGUUGCCUAGGAAGCCAUAUACACAAAGAUUACAGCUAGGUAAGGGGAACAGCAUUCUCCUAGUUACUCUCUGGACCUCAGAGGCAUCCUUUCAUUUUAAGGUUAAAUGGGGGAAAAGACCUUGAGAGUAGGGAUUGCCUCUUUAGUUUAUCAAUGGAAUUCCAGCUCCAGCACCAGUAUGUUCUUUAUUCCUGACAGAAGUUGUCAGAGAAUAUCUGUUCCUACUCUGAAGUGUGGGCAGGAGAGGAGGGAAGAGAAAAGGAGGAAGUAACACUCUGUCAUGUAUCCUGGAGGAGGGGGGUUACUUUACUUCAUAAUUAGUUGGAACAAACACAGCUCAGAUAUAUAGAGAACUGAAUCAACUUUUAAGAAUGCAAAGCAUUCAUCAAUUGACAAAUGGUCAAAGGAUAUAAAUGGACAAUUAGAUGGAAUUAAAACCAUCUUUAGUCACAUGAAAAAUGCUCUGGGGGCAGCUAGGUGGCUCAGUUAAUUGAGAGCCAGGCCCAAAGAGAGGAGGUUCUGGGUUCAAAUGUGACCUCAGACACUCCCUAGCUGUGUGAUCCUGGGCAAGUCACUUAACCCCUAUUUCCUUAAAAAAAAAAAAGAAGAGAAGAGAAAAAUGCUCUAAAUCACUAUAUAAGAAGUAAAUGUUAUGGUUGGACUGAAUAUAUAUAUAUAUAUAUAUAUAUAUUCAUAUAUAUAUUUUUUAGUUGGUCACUGGGGAUUUAAAUUCUAAAUCCCAAUGAAAUAGUCAAGUCAGAAUGGAA